Molecule: ribosomal RNA, 253 nt
Filed under: uncultured bacterium
Lineage: Bacteria
Description: partial 16S ribosomal RNA
Rfam family: Bacterial small subunit ribosomal RNA
Source: RNAcentral
UACGUAGGGUGCGAGCGUUAAUCGGAAUUACUGGGCGUAAAGCGUGCGCAGGCGGUUCGCUAAGACCGAUGUGAAAUCCCCGGGCUUAACCUGGGAACUGCAUUGGUGACUGGCGGGCUAGAGUAUGGCAGAGGGGGGUAGAAUUCCACGUGUAGCAGUGAAAUGCGUAGAGAUGUGGAGGAACACCGAUGGCGAAGGCAGCCCCCUGGGCUAACACUGACGCUCAUGCACGAAAGCGUGGGGAGCAAACAGG